UGAAUUUUUUUGUUUUUUGCUUUUUUUGUAACCCAUGAUAGAGUUUUUUGUAAUCCAUGAUUGAAUUUUUUGUAAUCCAUGAUCGAACUGUUUUUUUCUUUUUUUGUAAUCCACGAUUGAAUUUUUUGUUUUUUUUUGUUUGUUUUUUUUUUGUAAUCCAUGAUCGAAUUUUAUGUAAUCCAUAAUCGAAUUUUAUGUAAUCCAUGAUCGAAUUUUAUGUAAUCCAUGAU
RNAcentral lists this long non-coding RNA (230 nucleotides) under Amborella trichopoda. RNAcentral's name for it is "long non-coding RNA (ATRI_LNC000469)". The record is from RNAcentral. Lineage: Eukaryota; Viridiplantae; Streptophyta; Magnoliopsida; Amborellales; Amborellaceae.